GAUGAACGCUGGCGGCGUGCCUAACACAUGCAAGUCGAACGGAGAUUACGGACGGAAGUUUUCGGAUGGAAGUUUGUAAUUCUUAGUGGCGGACGGGUGAGUAACGCGUGGGCAACCUGCCCUAUACAGGGGGAUAGCAGCUGGAAACGGCUGGUAAGACCGCAUAAGUCGGCGAGACCGCAUGGUUUUGUCGGGAAAUGAGCAAUCAGGUAUAGGAUGGGCCCGCGUCCGAUUAGCCAGUUGGCAGGGUAAAAGCCUACCAAAGCAACGAUCGGUAGCCGGACUGAGAGGUCGGACGGCCACAUUGGGACUGAGACACGGCCCAAACUCCUACGGGAGGCAGCAGUGGGGGAUAUUGCACAAUGGAGGAAACUCUGAUGCAGCGACGCCGCGUGAGUGAAGAAGUAUUUCGGUAUGUAAAGCUCUAUCAGCAGGGAAGA
Molecule: ribosomal RNA, 440 nt
Filed under: Catonella morbi
Lineage: Bacteria; Bacillati; Bacillota; Clostridia; Lachnospirales; Lachnospiraceae
Description: bacterial SSU rRNA
Rfam family: Bacterial small subunit ribosomal RNA
Source: RNAcentral